Molecule: ribosomal RNA, 450 nt
Filed under: uncultured Nosocomiicoccus sp.
Lineage: Bacteria; Bacillati; Bacillota; Bacilli; Caryophanales; Staphylococcaceae
Description: bacterial SSU rRNA
Rfam family: Bacterial small subunit ribosomal RNA
Source: RNAcentral
GUAGGGAAUCUUCCGCAAUGGGCGAAAGCCUGACGGAGCAACGCCGCGUGUGCGAAGAAGGUCUUCGGAUCGUAAAGCACUGUUGUUAAGGAAGAACGACAGUAAGAGUAACUGCUUACUGUGUGACGGUACUUAACCAGAAAGCCACGGCUAACUACGUGCCAGCAGCCGCGGUAAUACGUAGGUGGCAAGCGUUAUCCGGAAUUAUUGGGCGUAAAGCGCGCGUAGGCGGCGAGAUUAGUCUGAUGUGAAAGCCCCCGGCUCAACCGGGGAAGGUCAUUGGAAACUGUUUCGCUUGAGUGCAGAAGAGGAGAGUGGAAUUCCAUGUGUAGCGGUGAAAUGCGCAGAGAUAUGGAGGAACACCAGUGGCGAAGGCGGCUCUCUGGUCUGCAACUGACGCUGAUGUGCGAAAGCGUGGGGAUCAAACAGGAUUAGAAACCCUUGUAGUCC